RNAcentral lists this long non-coding RNA (263 nucleotides) under Pongo abelii (Sumatran orangutan). RNAcentral describes it as "lincRNA". The record is from RNAcentral. Lineage: Eukaryota; Metazoa; Chordata; Mammalia; Primates; Hominidae.
GUCAACGUUUAUUGCUUCCUGAACUUUCCUGGAGGAUCAUCUGCCAUACUCCAGCAGAAGGGUGGAUUUGAAAAAAUAACGAAGAUGUUGGAGAAUUCACGUGCUAUUUUAGCUGGCUCUGUGAUUGCAAUCACACAAAUCAUUACAUUCCAGAGAGAUCCCAUCAACAGAAGGUUUUUCCAUUUCAGUCUGUCAAGUUUUUCAGGCAUGAAUACUAUAAGCAAGGAGAGAAAAGUUACAAUAAAUUGACAUUUAUAGUUGAA